AAAUGUAUAACUUUCUCCGACUUCCUAGGACGUGUUUUAUGCCACUUCUUUUUCUGUCUCAUUCUGUCCACCACACUGUUAGCGUUGUGCGUGAAGGCACAAAGGCGGAGCGGCCUCCGGAAAGCCGAGCAUCCCGCACAGGACUCUGCUGCUGUUGAGAGUCCAGCCCAUGUCGCAGACCUGCCUCCACCUCCCAGCGUGCUUCACUUCCACCACACCUUCUGUGACCAAGGUCUUCUUCUUGGUAGCCAUGAGGAUGGGCCUCAGGCGCACCUCCUCGAUCCGAACCUUACUGUGACCCUGAUCGGGGGAUGGCAACGGCGUGUCUCAACCAGUGUUUCCUCACCUUGUCCUUCUCCAUACUUGGCACUGUGCGUCCACGUGAUGCCCCCCUGGAAGCCCAUCUCUCGACACACCACGUUGGCCAGGUUGAUGUCCACCUCGUCGUCACACACCGUCCCCCAGGUGUUGUUGUGCAGCACCUCCACGCGACCCUCGUGAAGCUCCCGGGCAAAGUUCCCCGCCAGACGCACCUUGGCGACAGGUGCACGUGGAGCCCGGCGACGAUGACCGGAAGUGGGGCGUCUGGGCUCAGCGCUCACAAUGGAGGAAAAGGACAGGAAGAGGAGGAGGAGGAGGAAGCAGCCGGAGCAGAGGGUCAUCGUGAUGGAGAGGAGGGGGUCUGAGGAUGAAGAAGGAAGAGGAAAACAUUUUGUGCCACCCCUACCCACUCUCUGCCAUGCCUAUUAAUAGCUGGAUAACUACAACAGUUGGACAUGAACAUGACCGAGUGGGAGUGCCAGGAACGAUCUGGAUGGGUCAGGCAGAGGGGAAAAAAAUCCAUCCUUUUGGCCGGGUGAGUUGAAGAACAUGUGCAACACCGCCGCCUUGUGGAAGGAAGACAAUUUACAUGCACUAAAACCAAAUAAUUUCCAGUUAAUAAUCAGCAGAGAAAAUGCUGAGAAAAACAUUAAAAAAAGGGGGUUUGAAAACAAACGUGUAUUAAAUACAAAAUACUCUUUAUUGCAGUGCAGUGAUGACAAUACAACAUUUUUGAUACAUUAACAACUAUUUGCAGUGCUCAAGUUACUAACGUGCUGCGUUGCAAAUAAAAAAUGCUUUUCCAGAUAUAACACUU
Molecule: long non-coding RNA, 1138 nt
Organism: Entelurus aequoreus (snake pipefish)
Lineage: Eukaryota; Metazoa; Chordata; Actinopteri; Syngnathiformes; Syngnathidae
Exons: 5
Source: RefSeq, a predicted model, not a curated record